Molecule: unclassified non-coding RNA, 951 nt
Filed under: Hevea brasiliensis (rubber tree)
Lineage: Eukaryota; Viridiplantae; Streptophyta; Magnoliopsida; Malpighiales; Euphorbiaceae
Source: RNAcentral
AAAUAAUAUGCAUUGACCUUUUGCUCAACAAAUAACUUCUCAUCGAAACAACAAAAGGGUUGAAAUAAAUGCAUAAAGCUUCAGUUUGCAUAUCAUUAACAUCCCCAAACAAAAGCUCUGUAGAACAGUCGAAGUGCUAUGUUGAGGUGGAUCAGCCACCAAUUUCGUUCACUUUUCAACACAUGCUUUUUCUACUCAUCAAGGCAGCUUCCUAUAGAGAACCAAUUGACUAUGACUGCACUAUAUACACCUAUUAUCAACAUAUUGCCAUAUAUAGCAUCUGUAUUCACUGUUCUUACUGUCAAUGGCCUGGUGCAGUUGUCCAAAGGAUCAACACUCCAUGUGUUAAAUUAUCAUGGAACCCAUAAUUAAGAGACUUCUCAAAUAGAAUCAUAAGACGCUUUAAUAGUGUUGGCCCAUUCAAACCUUUAACAUUUAAAAUCCAUUUAUCCUCUUGUUUUGAAAAGAACUUCCUAUGCUUGACUAAUGUUUAAUCCGGCCCAGACUAAAGAAAGUCUUCAUGAAAUCUGUGAAUAGCUUUUGCCAACUGAAAGGUGGAAAAAUAUUGGCAAAGAUAAAGGAAGAGAUAUGUCAAGGCUUAAAUCAAGUUAGGCACAUAAAAGAUGACACCAAGGUUUUGGUAAAGGGAGAGAACAUUAAAGAAAGGUGAAAAUAAGAGAAUGUACAUUUAGCUUACAGAUGUUUAUCCUAGGCUAUUUGAUGUAGGAAAUCUUAGAGAUUUUACGACUACUUAUUUUAGAAGAAAAUAUAGAAUGUAAUAGUCUAUUUUAUCUAAAAAUUUUAUUUCUAUUUAACUAGAAUUUUUAUUUGAUUUGUAAUUUUGAUUCCUAAUUAGAACUGGAUUACGUUUCUAAUCAUAAUGUAAUUAGGGGUCACAAAAACUCUAUAAAUAGGGCCUAGGAUCUCCAUGGAUUUAAAUCGCAGUCAUGG